RNAcentral lists this long non-coding RNA (522 nucleotides) under Pollicipes pollicipes. RNAcentral describes it as "uncharacterized LOC119109065". Lineage: Eukaryota; Metazoa; Arthropoda; Thecostraca; Pollicipedomorpha; Pollicipedidae. The record is from RNAcentral.
UCUUGGAACGAGCGCGACGGUGACGUUGCGGUGUGCGGCCUUUCGGACGAGAAGACUGGGCUUACGUUGGAUGCAAGUUAUUGUCGUCCGGCAAGGUUUUAAAAAGUGAUGUUAUAGCCACUGGACAUUGAAGCGAUUGAAGACCAGAAAGCCUUAGUGCGACCGGCUUGAUUCAGAUUACUCCCCGAGAGCGACACUCGUUAAGGAUGCGAGUAUUUGAAGUUCCGCUUUCAAGCAUUGGACGGCCUGCAAAUUACCAUUGGAGCCAAACUGUAUGCAUUUUCUAGAUGAUCUUAAAUACGGAGCGGUAUUCUAAAGAUGUAGUUGUGCAGUGUGUAGUUCGUAGAUUACGAAACAACGGAGCGAGAAUACAGUUGGCGUUCCGUUUUGGGUCAGUUAUUUUGUUUUCCUUUUUCCAUGUUUUAAAGUCGCUGUGCUUUAUGCUCAGGAUCGAAGCAAAAUGUACAGGAGUAGGCUGCGAUGUGAUGCGUGUUGUAUAAAACCAAUAAACCAAAAAUGGCA